UACGGAGGGUGCAAGCGUUAAUCGGAAUUACUGGGCGUAAAGCGCGCGUAGGCGGCUUGUUAAGUCGAAUGUGAAAUCCCCGGGCUCAACCUGGGAACUGCAUCCGAUACUGGCUGGCUAGAGUGUGGUAGAGGGAAGUGGAAUUCCAGGUGUAGCGGUGAAAUGCGUAGAUAUCUGGAGGAACACCCGUGGCGAAGGCGGCUCCCUGGUCCGAUACUGACGCUGAGGCGCGAAAGGUA
This 239-nucleotide ribosomal RNA is filed under the name uncultured bacterium. Its description in RNAcentral is "partial 16S ribosomal RNA". It matches the Rfam family "Bacterial small subunit ribosomal RNA", at positions 524 to 762 of the family's 1533-position model. The record is from RNAcentral.